This 2941-nucleotide long non-coding RNA is filed under the name Sorghum bicolor (sorghum). RNAcentral's name for it is "long non-coding RNA (SBIC_LNC018206)". The record is from RNAcentral. Lineage: Eukaryota; Viridiplantae; Streptophyta; Magnoliopsida; Poales; Poaceae.
UCCAGAGCGCUAGGCUCUACUUCUCUAAUUCUAUCUAAUCAAUCCUAUAGAACUUGAAGGAAUUGGAAGUCGCUAGUUCUAAUUCUCUAUGGGAGAGAAAUUCCUAAACCCUAACUUUGAUGGCUUCGUCUGAUAAUGAUUUCUCCUCCUCCCCUGGGGUGGAGAGGCCUUGCUUAUAUAGCCCCCUCAAAUGAAUGUGGGCCGUUGGAUCAAACCGACCUUAAUCGCACGGUUAUUCUUGAAGAUUAGAGGCGGUGGAGCACGAUCUGUGAGACUUGCCCUGAUUGGCCACCAGGGCAGGGCGGGCACCCAGGGGGGAGGGCGGGCGCCCUGCCCCCGGGCCCGAUCGGCCUCCCGUUCGUUCCCGUGGCUUAUGGACUCUUCUUGAUUGAGGAAAAUUGUGCGGCACGUAAUUAUCUCGUUAUAAACCUAACAUGUGGGCCUUCUCUCCAUAUUUCCUGAUAACCCCCUGCAGAAAUAGACAAACACCAAAGCUCGUGGAAUUCUGUCAGAUAAAACCCUAAUUCUAGAUGUUUGGUGCAUAUUGAUCUUUUUCCAUGUUUAGUUGACGGUUAAAUUUAGUACUUAAGGACUGUCAACAAACUCCCCCAAGCUUACCCUUUGCUCGUCCCUGAGCCAACAGUUAAACUCAGAUGGAUCAAGAGUUGCUUUGAUGUUUUCUUUCCUGACAGGCACACAUGCUUUCAUAUAAAAUUCUCCCAGAUUAAAGUGUCAUGGGGCUUAGUACCAGCACUUAAGUCUUAAUUAAUCGAAAGACAAAAUAAUUAAGUCAAGUACUAUUCCUCCUAUCUAUACUUCACCUUUGUUCUGGAGUUUUGCAUAAGUUUUCAAAAAUAAAGCUCAGAGUUCCCAACUAUGAUACUCUCAAAUCUCUCUAUAUAUGGUAUUUGUGGAUCCUUACCAAAAAUGUCACCUACCUAUAACUAAGGGAAUGUUUAUGCGAAGCUCAUAGGUGUGAAAAAUAGCUCACACAUAUGUUGUCUAAUCGAGCCAUGGAUCCAAAGGAACUCAGCAUAUAAUUAAAUCAAGAUGUGCAUGUGUGGUGGAGUAAAUGAUAGUGAUGGUAAAAAUAUAAGUAAUGAUAAAACUUACUUCUCAUUGCUCCUCAUAUUGCUAUCUCUCCUCUUUGAUCUUUGCUUUGGGAGAACAUGGGCUAUUUCUUUUUUAUAUUUUUCUUUUUUAGGUGGGUAGUAAAUACCUCUAAUUCUACUGUCGGACACUUGUCCAUUUUUUCCGCUCAAGUGGGUAUCUUUAUACCCCUAAUUCUACUCCAAACACUUGUCCAUUUUAACCUCUUGUCUCACUCUUUUUCUUUCUUUUUCGAGGUUCUAGGAACUUGCCCCUUUUUUAUUUCCUCGCAUAUUUUUGCAUAACCCAUGCCUCUUCUGCAUUGAUUCUUUUUGGAGAGAGAAUAACAACACUUGGGACAGUGAGUGAUAAUAUUUUUAGCAAUUUUAAUGAAUGGUGGUGGAUGGUGUAGUAAAUGUGUGCAAGUGAAUAUCUUAAUUUAACCACAUAAAAAGCUCCUAAGGGUCUACACAGCUCGAUCAAACUCAAUAUGAAUAUAAGUAACAAAAGAUGUUAUAGCAAGUAUGGCUGUGGUAGGAAUUUUUUCAUACUAGGAACUCAUCAUGUGAUUUGCAAGUUUUCAAAAUAAAUCUCCAGAACUUAGUGUAGUAGGAACAAGUUAAACAAUAUCUCAAACUUUAUAUCAUGUCCUUCUCUUACCAAGACUUUGGUUUUAGGUUCAUGCUUCCCAUAGAUAGUAAAUUUUAGUUUUAGUAAUUCCUAGAAGAACUUUAAUAUAAAAGCUAGGUACUUGAAAGUAAGCAAAGAGAGCAACUGUUCAUCAUUUCCAUCAUGCAUCUUCUUAGUCUUUUUAUUUUUCUAGAGAUUAACACUUGGCAGAUAAAUAAAGCACACUAAUCUACACACUCUUUUUAUUUUAUUUUCAUUUUUAAGGAAUGUAGUAAAUUAAGCAAGAAUUUAUUUAUUGAGUUUUCUAAGUUUUUUUUUGAAAUAAUAAAACAGAUAAAUAAAUAAGAAAAACAAAUAAAAACUUAAUCGGUAAAAUAAGGAGGAACUCCCCCAAGCUAGAUGUUGUUGUGUCAGUCCUACUAAAUGUUCCAUAAUCGCAUCAUGGUGGUGUCUUGCCUCAGUCCUUGUACUGCAGCGGCGUGGUCCUGGUUCCACUUUUGUUGUUGUUCCAGGAGUCGUCCAUGUUCUGCUUGCGUAUUCUGGAUGCCGAGGAGGGUGUUGUCGGUACGGGUGAAGAAGGCGCCGGCCUCUUGGUAGUAGUCAUUCGUGAAAGCAUAAGAGGCGUCGGAGUACCGUCCUGCAUCGAAUUGGGGCUGGGGCCUAGACCCUGAAGCUCCAUAUGGAUCAGUGGAGUACCUGCCCGUACUAAAAGGUGGGUUUGACCACCGGUGAUCUUGGCCUUCUAGCCACGUCUCCUGUGUCGGCUCCUGCGGCUGAGCAUGUCGAACCCACGGGUCCCGAAGGACUCGGGGGUUGUAGUCGCGGUAAUGCAGGUGCGCUGCUUCUUCCGGCCCGGGAUCAGCUCCAUACCAGGUGUGUUCUUGAUGGGUGGUGAUCCUUUCGGAUGCCACUCGCUAUGGAGCUCUCUGGUUUACUGGUGUCACUGCAAUCUCAAUCAAAUAAUGGACGACAUAGAGGCCAAGAUUCGGGUUAGGUAACCGAAUCUUGCCUUUAUUAUCGUAUAACAUAUAAAUUAUGUUCCCCUCUUUUUUCAGCAUCCGAGCUUGCCUAAAUGUGUCAUAGCCAUGAUAAAUUCGUAACACAUCAAUGAAUUCCAAUGACGAGUUUUCUAGCAAAUUAAGACUAGUGGCUAGACGAGUGAUGAGUGAAGUACAACCGACAGGUCCCUGAAGACUAGGUAUACUAAGCCAAUGAGAAACCA